Molecule: small RNA, 237 nt
Filed under: Pseudomonas fluorescens Q2-87
Lineage: Bacteria; Pseudomonadati; Pseudomonadota; Gammaproteobacteria; Pseudomonadales; Pseudomonadaceae
Description: sRNA P11
Rfam family: Pseudomonas sRNA P11 (bases 101-237)
About the family: P11 is located between a putative threonine protein kinase and putative nitrate reductase and appears to be conserved in several Pseudomonas species. P11 has a predicted Rho independent terminator at the 3'end but the function of P11 is unknown.
Source: RNAcentral
AAGCUCAACAGCGCUCCAUUAGCGAGCAACACGCUUUGAUUCGGUGCAAUAAAUCCUCUUCUCCUUCGCUCACCCAGCCUAUCCCCCAAUAAAUCCAUGCCUUCAAGCCACUUGGCACAACCACUGCAUAAUCCCUCUCAACAUACAUAAGGCAACGCCUCCAACGAUGAAGGCGGUGCCUCCCGAGAGAACGGGACCAGGACAAAGGCGUCCUCGCUAGCUUGCUAGCGGGACGCC